Molecule: ribosomal RNA, 331 nt
Filed under: Silvacalles cedroensis
Lineage: Eukaryota; Metazoa; Arthropoda; Insecta; Coleoptera; Curculionidae
Description: eukaryotic LSU rRNA
Rfam family: Eukaryotic large subunit ribosomal RNA
Source: RNAcentral
GUGCGAUCGCCCGUGAGGGCGGUCACGAAGCCCUGACGAGUAGGAGGGUCGCGGCGGUGAGCGCAGAAGGGCUGGCCGCGAGGCCGUCUGGAGCCGCCGUCGGUGCAGAUCUUGGUGGUAGUAGCAAAUACUCCAGCGAGGCCCUGGAGGACUGACGUGGAGAAGGGUUUCGUGUGAACAGCCGUUGCACACGAGUCAGUCGAUCCUAAGCCCUAGGCGAAAGCCGAUGUCGAUGCGGUGUAGUUUUUACCAAAUAUAUAUUUAUGUAUGUAUGUAUAGAGCGAGAACACACCCGUCGGGCGAAAGGGAAUCCGGUUCCUAUUCCGGAACC